AGUGAACGCUGGCGGUAGGCCUAACACAUGCAAGUCGAACGGCAGCACAGUAAGAGCUUGCUCUUACGGGUGGCGAGUGGCGGACGGGUGAGGAAUACAUCGGAAUCUACUUUUUCGUGGGGGAUAACGUAGGGAAACUUACGCUAAUACCGCAUACGACCUACGGGUGAAAGCAGGGGAUCUUCGGACCUUGCGCGAUUGAAUGAUCCGAUGUCGGAUUAGCUAGUUGGCGGGGUAAAGGCCCACCAAGGCGACGAUCCGUAGCUGGUCUGAGAGGAUGAUCAGACACACUGGAACUGAGACACGGUACAGACUCCUACGGGAGGCAGCAGUGGGGAAUAUUGGACAAUGGGCGCAAGCCUGAUCCAGACAUACCGCGUGGGUGAAGAAGGCCUUCGGGUUGUAAAGACCUUUUGUUGGGAAAGAAAAGCAGCAGGUUAAUACCCCGCUGUUCUGACGGUACCCAAAGAAUAAGCACCGGCUAACUUCGUG
This 492-nucleotide ribosomal RNA is filed under the name uncultured bacterium. RNAcentral's name for it is "partial 16S ribosomal RNA". It matches the Rfam family "Bacterial small subunit ribosomal RNA", at positions 29 to 507 of the family's 1533-position model. The record is from RNAcentral.